RNAcentral lists this ribosomal RNA (530 nucleotides) under uncultured bacterium. RNAcentral describes it as "bacterial SSU rRNA". It matches the Rfam family "Bacterial small subunit ribosomal RNA", at positions 777 to 1305 of the family's 1533-position model. The record is from RNAcentral.
AAUAGAUACCCCGGUAGUCCAUGCCGUAAACGUUGGGCACUAGGUGUGGGGCUCAUUCCACGAGUUCCGUGCCGCAGCAAACGCAUUAAGUGCCCCGCCUGGGGAGUACGGCCGCAAGGCUAAAACUCAAAGGAAUUGACGGGGGCCCGCACAAGCGGCGGAGCAUGCGGAUUAAUUCGAUGCAACGCGAAGAACCUUACCAAGGCUUGACAUGCACGGGAAGCCACCAGAGAUGGUGGUCUCUUUGGACACUCGUGCACAGGUGGUGCAUGGUUGUCGUCAGCUCGUGUCGUGAGAUGUUGGGUUAAGUCCCGCAACGAGCGCAACCCUCGUCCCAUGUUGCCAGCGGGUUAUGCCGGGGACUCAUGGGAGACUGCCGGGGUCAACUCGGAGGAAGGUGGGGAUGACGUCAAAUCAUCAUGCCCCUUAUGUCUUGGGCUUCACGCAUGCUACAAUGGCCGGUACAAAGGGCUGCGAUGCCGUAAGGUGGAGCGAAUCCCAAAAAGCCGGUCUCAGUUCGGAUUGGGGUC